Molecule: ribosomal RNA, 434 nt
Filed under: uncultured Roseburia sp.
Lineage: Bacteria; Bacillati; Bacillota; Clostridia; Lachnospirales; Lachnospiraceae
Description: partial 16S ribosomal RNA
Rfam family: Bacterial small subunit ribosomal RNA
Source: RNAcentral
ACGGGAGGCAGCAGUGGGGAAUAUUGCACAAUGGGGGAAACCCUGAUGCAGCGACGCCGCGUGAGCGAUGAAGUAUUUCGGUAUGUAAAGCUCUAUCAGCAGGGAAGAUAAUGACGGUACCUGACUAAGAAGCCCCGGCUAACUACGUGCCAGCAGCCGCGGUAAUACGUAGGGGGCAAGCGUUAUCCGGAUUUACUGGGUGUAAAGGGAGCGCAGGCGGUUUUUUAAGUCUGAUGUGAAAGCCCGUGGCUCAACUGCGGGACUGCAUUGGAAACUGGAGAACUAGAGUGUCGGAGGGGCAAGUGGAAUUCCUAGUGUAGCGGUGAAAUGCGUAGAUAUUAGGAGGAACACCAGUGGCGAAGGCGGCUUACUGGACGAUUACUGACGCUGAGGCUCGAAAGCGUGGGGAGCAAACAGGAUUAGAUACCCUGGUA